AUGCUGUCCCGCGCCCGGCGCCUCCACCCCGCUCUCCGCUGCCUCCUCCGUGCAAGCGCUGCGCACUCGUCCCCUCACCCUCCUCCGACGCAACACAUCCUAGCUGCCUCCCAAAUCCCUAAACCCUUCCCCCUCCUGCGCCGCCACCUCUCGUCCCCACCGCCGCCGGUGUCUUCCCCUCCGGCUGUGGUGUCUUCUGACCUCCCAGCAGUCAGUACCAAUGGCAAGUGCCCGGGCUGCGGCAUCGCCAUGCAGUCUGCCGACCCGGCCCUCCCUGGCUUCUUCAACCUCCCAUCCCCCAAGUCUCCCGACUACCGCGCGCGCCUCGCGCCCGUCACCGCCGACGACACCGGCAUCUCGGCCUCUCUGAAAAGCGAGCUCCUCCAGGAGGGCCAAGAAAACUCACGGGAGGGCGGGGCGGUGGCGGUGGCGGUGGUGGCCGCGGAGGCGGAGGCCGAGAAGAAGAGCAAGGUGGUGCUGUGUGCUCGGUGCCACUCGCUGCGCCACUACGGCCACGUCAAGCGCCCCGACGCCGAGGUCCUGCUCCCGGACUUCGACUUCGUGGCCGCCGUCGGCCCGCGCCUCGCGUCGCCCUCGGGGGCCAGGUCGCUGGUGCUGCUCCUCGCAGACGCGUCGGACUUCGACGGCUCCUUCCCGCGCGCCGUGGCGCGCCUGGUCGCCGUCACCAGCGAGGCCCACCACGCGGACUGGAAGCGCGGCGCGCCGUCUAACCUCCCCCGCGCGGUGCUCGUGGUCACCAAGCUCGACCUGCUCCCGACGCCGUCGCUUUCGCCCGACGACGUGCACGCGUGGGCGCAGGCCCGCGCGCGCGCCGGUGCUGGCGCCGACCUGCAGCUUGCCGGCGUUCACCUUGUCAGCGCGGCGCGAGGGUGGGGGGUGCGCGACCUGCUCAACCACGUGCGCGAGGUCGCCGGGGCGCGCGGCAAGGUCUGGGCUGUUGGCGCGCGGAAUGUGGGCAAAUCGACGCUGCUCAACGCCAUUGCUCGGUGCUCUGGGGCAGAGAGCGGGCAAACCUUGACAGAGGCGCCUGUUCCGGGAACAACCCUCGGGGUGAUCCGGGUGGACGGCGUUCUUGGUGCUCAGGCGAAGCUGUUUGAUACUCCGGGCUUGCUUCAUGGACACCAGCUGACGUCCAGACUUACGCCCGAGGAGCUGAAACUUGUUCAAGUGAGGAAGGAGAUGCGACCCAGAACAUACAGAAUAAAGGCAGGGCAGUCAAUACAUAUAGGAGGACUGGUGCGCCUGGAUGUGGAAGACUUGACUGUAGGAUCAAUCUAUGUUACGGUUUGGGCAUCACCACUUGUGCCACUUCACAUGGGGAAGACCGAAAAUGCGGAGUCUAUGAUGAAAGAUCACUUUGGCUUGCAACUGCAGCCUCCUAUAGGCCAGAAACGAGUGAAAGAGCUUGGGAAAUGGGUGAGGAAACAAUUCAAAGUUUCUGGAAAUAGUUGGGAUGCAAAUACUAUGGAUAUAGCCAUUUCAGGUCUUGGCUGGUAUGGAAUCGGGCUGAAAGGAGAGGCAGUAUUAGGGUUAUGGACAUACGAUGGUGUUGAUGUUGUCCCCAGGAGCUCCCUUGUCCAUGAGAGGGCGUCGAUUUUUGAGGAAGCAGGAUUCUCAGUUUCAAAAGUCGUCUCGCGGGCAGAUAGCAUGACAAAUAAGCUGAAAGGCAAUAAAAAAACAAACAAGAAGGAGAUGAAAGGCAUUUUGCAAUCUUCUGAAGUACCAGAACCUUCAGAACCUGCUACGGUCAUAGAUGCUUGA
Molecule: ribosomal RNA, 1782 nt
Filed under: Triticum aestivum (bread wheat)
Lineage: Eukaryota; Viridiplantae; Streptophyta; Magnoliopsida; Poales; Poaceae
Description: partial small subunit ribosomal RNA
Source: RNAcentral